UGGGGAAUAUUGGACAAUGGGCGCAAGCCUGAUCCAGCCAUGCCGCGUGAGUGAUGAAGGCCCUUAGGGGUUGUAAAGCUCUUUUCAGUGGGGAAAGAUAAUGACGGUACCCCACAGAAGAAGCCCCCGGCUAACUUCGUGCCAGCAGCCGCGGUAAUACGAAGGGGGCUAGCGUUGUUCGGAUUUACUGGGCGUAAAGCGCACGUAGGCGGAUCGUUAAGUCAGGGGUGAAAUCCCAGAGCUCAACUCUGGAACUGCCUUUGAUACUGGCGAUCUCGAGUCCGGAAGAGGUGAGUGGAACUCCUAGUGUAGAGGUGGAAUUCGUAGAUAUAGGAGAACACCAGUGGCGAAGGCGGCUCACUGGUCCGGAACUGACGCUGAGGUGCGAAAGCGUGGGGAGCAAACAGGAUUAGAUACCCCUGGUAGUCCACGCCGUAAACUAUGAGAGCUAGCCGUUGGAUGGUUUACCAUUCAGUGGCGCAGCUAACGCAUUAAGCUCUCCGCCUGGGGAGU
This 513-nucleotide ribosomal RNA is filed under the name uncultured bacterium. RNAcentral's name for it is "partial 16S ribosomal RNA". It matches the Rfam family "Bacterial small subunit ribosomal RNA", at positions 355 to 881 of the family's 1533-position model. The record is from RNAcentral.